Molecule: ribosomal RNA, 862 nt
Filed under: Peribacillus simplex
Lineage: Bacteria; Bacillati; Bacillota; Bacilli; Caryophanales; Bacillaceae
Description: bacterial SSU rRNA
Rfam family: Bacterial small subunit ribosomal RNA
Source: RNAcentral
UGAGGGAGCUUGCUCCCAAAGAUUAGCGGCGGACGGGUGAGUAACACGUGGGUAACCUGCCUGUAAGAUUGGGAUAACUCCGGGAAACCGGAGCUAAUACCGGAUAACAUUUCGAACCGCAUGGUUCGACAUUGAAAGAUGGCUUCGGCUAUCACUUACAGAUGGACCCGCGGCGCAUUAGCUAGUUGGUGAGGUAACGGCUCACCAAGGCGACGAUGCGUAGCCGACCUGAGAGGGUGAUCGGCCACACUGGGACUGAGACACGGCCCAGACUCCUACGGGAGGCAGCAGUAGGGAAUCUUCCGCAAUGGACGAAAGUCUGACGGAGCAACGCCGCGUGAACGAUGAAGGCCUUCGGGUCGUAAAGUUCUGUUGUUAGGGAAGAACAAGUACCAGAGUAACUGCUGGUACCUUGACGGUACCUAACCAGAAAGCCACGGCUAACUACGUGCCAGCAGCCGCGGUAAUACGUAGGUGGCAAGCGUUGUCCGGAAUUAUUGGGCGUAAAGCGCGCGCAGGUGGUUUCUUAAGUCUGAUGUGAAAGCCCACGGCUCAACCGUGGAGGGUCAUUGGAAACUGGGGAACUUGAGUGCAGAAGAGGAAAGUGGAAUUCCAAGUGUAGCGGUGAAAUGCGUAGAGAUUUGGAGGAACACCAGUGGCGAAGGCGACUUUCUGGUCUGUAACUGACACUGAGGCGCGAAAGCGUGGGGAGCGAACAGGAUUAGAUACCCUGGUAGUCCACGCCGUAAACGAUGAGUGCUAAGUGUUAGAGGGUUUCCGCCCUUUAGUGCUGCAGCAAACGCAUUAAGCACUCCGCCUGGGGAGUACGGUCGCAAGACUGAAACUCAAAGGAAUUGACGGG